GUUUAAAGGAAAAUUUAGGUAGAGAGAUGGCACAUAAAUGGUAUGCAACUAGAAUAGCACAUGAUGCCGUUGAGGGGCAGUUACUGAUUAAGUACAGUUGUUACGGUCUCCUAUGUGCCAGGCAUGUGUGAGGCACUGGCCCCGAGCUGACCACUUGACUGAAGCAAUGGAUCUGAAUGCACAAACAGUGGAAAGAUUAAGGAAGGAUGUUUCAGGGUUAGAUUAUGAAGCCCAACUAAGCAGUCUGACUCCAGGACAAUUAAUUCUAAGAUGCAGGAAGGACUGGUGGAAGUGAGGACAUAAAUCAGGAAGUUAUGAUAACUUAGCAAAACAAACUAUCCUCAAAUAUGCCUUGCUUUUCU
This 362-nucleotide long non-coding RNA is filed under the name Bos taurus (domestic cattle). RNAcentral describes it as "long non-coding RNA NONBTAT016045". The record is from RNAcentral. Lineage: Eukaryota; Metazoa; Chordata; Mammalia; Artiodactyla; Bovidae.